UCACCCUUUGUGACAUACCUUAACUGUUGCUUCGGCGGGUAGGCGUCCCCUAAAAAGGACGUCUCCCGGCCCUCUCCCGUCCGCGGGUGGGGCGCCCGCCGGAGGAUAACCAAACUCUGAUUUAACGACGUUUCUUCUGAGUGACACAAGCAAAUAAUCAAAACUUUUAACAACGGAUCUCUUGGUUCUGGCAUCGAUGAAGAACGCAGCGAAAUGCGAUAAGUAAUGUGAAUUGCAGAAUUCAGUGAAUCAUCGAAUCUUUGAACGCACAUUGCGCCCGCCAGCAUUCUGGCGGGCAUGCCUGUUCGAGCGUCAUUUCAACCCUCAAGCUCUGCUUGGUGUUGGGGCUCUACGGUUGACGUAGGCCCUUAAAGGUAGUGGCGGACCCUCUCGGAGCCUCCUUUGCGUAGUAACAUUUCGUCUCGCAUUGGGAUUCGGAGGGACUCUAGCCGUAAAACCCCCAAUUUUACUAAGGUUGACCUCGGAUCAGGUAGGAAUACCCGCUGAACUUAAGCAUAUCAUAGGGGGGGGAAGGGAAUCGAAGUU
The sequence is a ribosomal RNA, 546 nucleotides long. The stretch from base 162 to 315 matches the Rfam family "5.8S ribosomal RNA".